ACCAGACUCGUCUCAGGCCAGUUGCAGCCUUCUCAGCCAAACGCCGACCAAGAAAACUCACUACCAUGAGAAUUGCAGUGAUUUGCUUUUGCCUCCUAGGCAUCACCUGUGCCAUACCAUUAAACAGGCUGAUUCUGGAAGUUCUGAGGAAAAGCAGUUUACAACAAAUACCCAGAUGCUGUGGCCACAUGGCUAAACCCUGACCCAUCUCAGAAGCAGAAUCUCCUAGCCCCACAGAUGCUGUGUCCUCUGAAGAAACCAAUGACUUUAAACAAGAGGUAAGUUCUCAUUUUCAAUCAGAGGCC
Molecule: long non-coding RNA, 305 nt
Filed under: Homo sapiens (human)
Lineage: Eukaryota; Metazoa; Chordata; Mammalia; Primates; Hominidae
Description: HSALNT0074763
Source: RNAcentral